Molecule: small RNA, 28 nt
Filed under: Bombyx mori (domestic silkworm)
Lineage: Eukaryota; Metazoa; Arthropoda; Insecta; Lepidoptera; Bombycidae
Description: piRNA piR-bmo-1296305
Source: RNAcentral
AAACGCGAAAGAAAGCCGACCUCGAAGA